This is a long non-coding RNA of Stegodyphus dumicola, 310 nucleotides long. NCBI's taxonomy places the organism in Eukaryota, Metazoa, Arthropoda, Arachnida, Araneae, Eresidae. The record is from RefSeq and is a predicted model, not a curated record.
GAAACCUUGAACCAUAGAAAAUGAAUAUUGAUAAAGUUAUUUCUUCAAACGCUAUAAAAAAUGUCGUACAGAAAUGAAUGACACAAAUGCUGCCACAGAGCGGAAUACAAUUUAUUAAAAGGCCAAUACAAUUGGUGAGAAUUAAUAAAACCAAUGGUUUUUGAAAUUAACAAUGAGACCUACGUUGUCUACAUUACUUCAGAUUUCGGCUGUUCUCAAGAUGGUUUGGUCAGAAAGUUUAGAGUUCGAUAGCAUACUUCCAGACAACCCACAAGAAUAUGAUAAUUUACAGCCGCCCAGAGAGAAAGGU